CCUACGGGUGGCAGCAGUCGAGAAUUAUUCACAAUGGGGGAAACCCUGAUGGUGCGACGCCGCGUGGGGGAAUGAAGGUCUUCGGAUUGUAAACCCCUGUCAUGUGGGAGCAAAUUAAAAAGAUAGUACCACAAGAGGAAGAGACGGAUAACUCUGUGCCAGCAGCCGCGGUAAUACAGAGGUCUCAAGCGUUGUUCGGAAUCACUGGGCGUAAGGCGUGCGUAGGCUGUUUCGUAGGUCGUGUGUGAAAGGCGCGGGCUCAACCCGCGGACGGCACAUGAUACUGCGAGACUAGAGUAAUGGAGGGGGAACCGGAAUUCUCGGUGUAGCAGUGAAAUGCGUAGAUAUCGAGAGGAACACUCGUGGCGAAGGCGGGUUCCUGGACUUUAACUGACGCUGAGGCACGAAGGCCAGGGGAGCGAAAGGGAUUAGAUACCCCUGUAGUC
RNAcentral lists this ribosomal RNA (446 nucleotides) under uncultured bacterium. RNAcentral's name for it is "partial 16S ribosomal RNA". It matches the Rfam family "Bacterial small subunit ribosomal RNA", at positions 338 to 795 of the family's 1533-position model. The record is from RNAcentral.